RNAcentral lists this ribosomal RNA (374 nucleotides) under uncultured bacterium. RNAcentral describes it as "bacterial SSU rRNA". It matches the Rfam family "Bacterial small subunit ribosomal RNA", at positions 524 to 898 of the family's 1533-position model. The record is from RNAcentral.
GACGAACCGUGCGAACGUUGUUCGGAAUCACUGGGCUUAAAGGGCGCGUAGGCGGGUUGCCGCGUCCGGGGUGAAAUCCCACGGCUUAACCGUGGGACGGCCCCGGAUACGGGCGGCCUGGAGGGGGGUAGGGGCGGGCGGAACUCUGCGUGGAGCGGUGAAAUGCGUUGAUAUGCAGAGGAACUCCGGUGGCGAAGGCGGCCCGCUGGACCCCAUCUGACGCUGAGGCGCGAAAGCCAGGGGAGCGAACGGGAUUAGAUACCCCGGUAGUCCUGGCCCUAAACGUUGAGAACUAGGUAGUGGGCUGACAUGGGCGCACUGCCGGAGCGAAAGUGCUAAGUUCUCCGCCUGGGGAGUAUGGCCGCAAGGCUGAA